UGGGGAAUAUUGCACAAUGGGCGCAAGCCUGAUGCAGCAAUGCCGCGUGAGUGAAGACGGCCUUAGGGUUGUAAAACUCUUUCGCUAGGGAAGAUAAUGACGGUACCUAGUAAAGAAGUCCCGGCUAACUCCGUGCCAGCAGCCGCGGUAAUACGGAGGGGGUUAGCGUUGUUCGGAAUUACUGGGCGUAAAGCGCACGUAGGCGGACCAGAAAGUUGGGGGUGAAAUCCCGGGGGCUCAACCCCGGAACUGCCUCCAAAACUAUUGGUCUAGAGUUCGAGAGAGGUGAGUGGAAUUCCAAGUGUAGAGGUGAAAUUCGUAGAUAUUUGGAGGAACACCAGUGGCGAAGGCGGCUCACUGGCUCGAUACUGACGCUGAGGUGCGAAAGUGUGGGGAGCAAACAGGAUUAGAUACCCUGGUAGUCCACACCGUAAAACGAUGAAUGCCAGUCGUCGGGUAGCAUGCUAUUCGGUGACACA
This 479-nucleotide ribosomal RNA is filed under the name uncultured bacterium. RNAcentral describes it as "bacterial SSU rRNA". It matches the Rfam family "Bacterial small subunit ribosomal RNA", at positions 355 to 850 of the family's 1533-position model. The record is from RNAcentral.